RNAcentral lists this long non-coding RNA (325 nucleotides) under Homo sapiens (human). RNAcentral's name for it is "LHRI_LNC393.1". The record is from RNAcentral. Lineage: Eukaryota; Metazoa; Chordata; Mammalia; Primates; Hominidae.
GUCUGAACUUCAUCCUAGCAAAAACAAAGUUGCAGGCACAACAGUUUAAGAAUGCAUUCCUCCAGAAAAGUAUCUGGUCAGGUUCACCCUGAGCCUUCUUUGGACUUAAUUUGGAACUUAGCCUAGAAAGCAAAAGUGGACUGUCCAACAGAAAGAUGUCAACAAGGAAAAGAGGAGAGCCAAGCGCUAGCAUGCCUUUUGCCUCUGCAUAUCUGUGCACACUGUAUGUUGUUCAUGAUAGCUUGUCUACAACUUGACUAGGUUGGAGUUCUGGUAAUAGUGGCAAUCUUGACAUUCUUGGUCAGAGUUUAGAGAGAUGUAAGAC